Molecule: long non-coding RNA, 2314 nt
Organism: Rosa chinensis
Lineage: Eukaryota; Viridiplantae; Streptophyta; Magnoliopsida; Rosales; Rosaceae
Exons: 8
Source: RefSeq, a predicted model, not a curated record
CUCCUCCCCCAAUUUUCGACUUCCCUCUUCAAUUGAAACCCACCAUAAGAGAAAAGUUGUUGUUUCAUUCCCUCUAUUUCCAUUAUUCAGUUGUCAUAGAAAGAAAAAAAUAAACUCGAGCUGAAAACACAGUCUAUCUGAUUCGACUCGACGGAGAAGGCGGCGACUCAUAACAGUCACCGGAUUUGAGAGAUUCUGGGUUCAACUCGUAGUAAGAUAGAAGGUUGAGGAGUCAAUAACUCCAAAAUCAGAACUAUAGAAGAUGCGGACUUUCAGCUGGAGGAUAGAUCUGGGUCUCGAAUUAACACGUCAUGUACAAGCCAAAUGUUUGUUUAAAUCGUCGUCUCGUCAAUUAUGAUGAUUCCGGAUUCGGGUUUCAUGAUGGAGAACGAGGCGAGUUGCUUACCGCACACACCGGAGGAGGAGUAGCAGAUCAUUGAUGAAUUAAGCGGUCAAUCCAAAGCCAAUGUCAAAGCAGGCAACUUGUUCUAUGUUAUUUCUAACAGUGGUACUCAAGCUGCAUUGGUGGUAUCUCACUGAGGACAACCUGCAUGAGGGUGCUGACUUCUUAUAUUCCAAAGGUAGAGUAUAAUGUGUGUUUGUUCUUGUUCCCUCUAUCACUUUCAUCUUGUUAUUUAAAUUAUCGGUUAUCCUCAUGUUUUGUGUCAUGUUAUUUCUUUUCCUGUAUAAGUACUAGUUUUGUGAUGGGGAAGUUCAUCCUCUAGUAUAACCAAAAUAGACAUUGAUAUGUUUAAAUAUAGAUUCUCAUCUAGAACGUAGAGAUUCCAUGAUAAUAUUAGUAUUUUAACGUUUGAGCUAUAUGUUCUAAGCUUUUUUCAGCAUUUUCUUAUACCAUCUUAUAGUUCUGAGUCCAGUGAACUUGUGAUUCCCAACUAAUUUUAUGGUUAAGACACAGUUUAAUAUAGCUCUCGAGAUUCUUCUCUGUUUCAGUAAAACGGCAUUCCUUUUCACUUUUUGAAAUUCAAUCAGAUUAUAGUUAUGACUCUUGACAACUUCCUUGCUACUGGGUUGAAUGUUUUGUUACUCGGUGACUUCCAACUAUUGUCGGGUUUUGCUAUUUCAUGUCAUCAUAUUGGUAGCCUCUAGUUUGUCUAUGGUCAAUGUACUGCUCUCCUUCUAUGAGUUCAAUUGAUAAUGUUCAGUUUCUUGCUUUAGAACUAAAAUGAUGUAUGACUUGUGUGAUUGUUAAAAUUCUGACCAAGUAAUGCAUGAUGAUUUGAAUCUUAUCUCUUUAGAGUUGAUACUCACAAUAGGCAUUAUACUUUGGACAUUGUACUAAAAGUUUGGACAUUUGGUUCCUGGCACUCAUGCAGAUCAAAGUCUCCUUUGGAUAAUUGCAAGGCUUAAUGAUUGUUAAUUAUUAUAUCAAGAAAGGCUAGCUGCACCUUGAAACACCUCUUCAACUCUUUUCCGUUACAAAAGGAGCACAGCGGCCAUAUCUGUAGUAACUUGGAGAAGAACAAGCUCAAAUGGUUCACUUCCGAGUAUGCUUGUUGAAAAAUCGACAAGUGGAUCAUUAUUGUUAAGGGUUGGAGAAAAUGAAAACAUAUGUGCAGCAAUAUCAUGCAAAAGGAAGAAAGCCAAUGUACUCAUUCCCAUAAUAGUAGCAGUUAGUGGAUUUGUUAUUUAGUUUGUAGCAUCAGUUAUAUUAUUUAGCAUGAGAAGAAAAGAGAACAAGGUAAAGCUGUAAUAUAUAUAUUACUAACAGUUAAUUGAAAGGUAAACAGAGAAACUGUUUGAUGUGUCAUAUGUAUGCAGUUUUAAUAAUAUAAGAACGUCUUUUUUGUGUCCUCUUAUGAAUUUAAUGACUCUAUUUCCAGAACUUUAAGGACAUAAUUUGUGUCCUAGUAUAGAAAAGAGGACACAUAUGAUAAUUUAUUUUGUGUUCUCUUAUGGAUUUAAGGACUCCAUUUUCAAACUUUUGAGGACACUAGUUGUGUGUCCUAGUAUAGAAAAGAGGACACAUAUAAGAGUGGAUUUUUAUGUCCUCUUAUGGAUUUAAGGACUCCAUUUCUUGAGCUUUUAUGACACAAUUUGUGUGUCCUUGUUUAGAAAAGAGGACACAUAUUAGAUAAUAUGAGGAUGCAAUUUAAGUGUCCUCUUAUGGAUAUAAGGACACCUUGUCCAAAGCUUUUAGGACGCACAAACUGUGUCCUCAUAUAGAAAAGAGGACACAUUUUCAGUGUCCUUGUUUGGGACUUAUGAUGACUCUCGGAUAGAGGACUCUUUAAAAAAGAGUCCUUGUAUGUAUUUAAGGACACUGUUUCAAUGUCCUUAAAUCAUGUUUUUCUAG